GAUGAACGCUGGCGGCGUGCUUAACACAUGCAAGUCGAACGGAAAGGCCCUGCUUUUGUGGGGUGCUCGAGUGGCGAACGGGUGAGUAACACGUGAGUAACCUGCCCUUGACUUUGGGAUAACUUCAGGAAACUGGGGCUAAUACCGGAUAGGAGCUCCUGCUGCAUGGUGGGGGUUGGAAAGUUUCGGCGGUUGGGGAUGGACUCGCGGCUUAUCAGCUUGUUGGUGGGGUAGUGGCUUACCAAGGCUUUGACGGGUAGCCGGCCUGAGAGGGUGACCGGCCACAUUGGGACUGAGAUACGGCCCAGACUCCUACGGGAGGCAGCAGUGGGGAAUAUUGCACAAUGGGCGGAAGCCUGAUGCAGCAACGCCGCGUGCGGGAUGACGGCCUUCGGGUUGUAAACCGCUUUCGCCUGUGACGAAGCGUGAGUGACGGUAAUGGGUAAAGAAGCACCGGCUAACUACGCG
RNAcentral lists this ribosomal RNA (468 nucleotides) under uncultured bacterium. RNAcentral describes it as "partial 16S ribosomal RNA". It matches the Rfam family "Bacterial small subunit ribosomal RNA", at positions 28 to 507 of the family's 1533-position model. The record is from RNAcentral.